This 396-nucleotide ribosomal RNA is filed under the name uncultured bacterium. RNAcentral's name for it is "partial 16S ribosomal RNA". It matches the Rfam family "Bacterial small subunit ribosomal RNA", at positions 523 to 918 of the family's 1533-position model. The record is from RNAcentral.
AUACGUAGGGAGCGAGCGUUAUCCGGAAUUACUGGGCGUAAAGGGCGCGUAGGCUGCGCUUCAAGUCGUCUGUCAAACAAUAAGGCUCAACCUUAUUUUGCAGACGAAACUGUGGCGCUGGAGAAGCAGAGAGGCAAACAGAAUUCCUGGUGUAGCGGUGAAAUGCGUAGAUAUCAGGAAGAAUACCAGUGGCGAAGGCGGUUUGCUGGCUGCAUACUGACGCUGAAGCGCGAAAGCCAGGGGAGCGAACGGGAUUAGAUACCCCGGUAGUCCUGGCAGUAAACGAUGAAUACUAGGUGUAGGGGGUAUCGACUCCCUCUGUGCCGCAGUUAACACAAUAAGUAUUCCGCCUGGGGAGUACGGCCGCAAGGUUGAAACUCAAAUGAAUUGGCGGGG